This is a long non-coding RNA of Archocentrus centrarchus (flier cichlid), 1841 nucleotides long. RefSeq lists it as uncharacterized. Lineage: Eukaryota; Metazoa; Chordata; Actinopteri; Cichliformes; Cichlidae. The record is from RefSeq and is a predicted model, not a curated record. The transcript is spliced from 3 exons.
GCACUGAGAGUGGAAAUCAGACACUAACUGUGGAAGAAAUCUUCGAGGCAAUGUGUGGAAAUGUGUUUCUUGUGCACACAGCACUGAGGAGCCUGUGGAAAAAUCAAGAACUGAGACCGACAGCUGUAGAUGUGGAUCUGCCGUGCUCAUUUCAACGACAAGCAGAAGAAUGCAAUGAAGAAAUGGUGUGAGUGGCGUCAGUGCUGCCAGCUGUGGUCACACAUGUGGUUUCAAAAAGAACAUGUGCAUUCACUGCCAGAAUCACACACCUUAAAGUGCACUUUUAAGUGCUUUAAGAUAAUGUACUGCCAGGAGUUUACGUUCAUACAUGUAAUGUUGAUACUUUGUUCUUCGUAGUUUCUGAAAAAGGAUGUUAAUACUGAGUUCAAAUACAACUUAGAUCAUAAUACAAAAUGUUUGCUUCACAGCACACACAAAUAUAUUACAGCAAAAUGUAAUUUGCACUGUGAAUGGAUGCAGAUGUGUGUUUCUCUAAGAAAAGUUAUUUUGUAGGUGGAUUACAGUUUGAAAUUCAUUUAGAUUGUCAAACUACAGAGUACAAAUGCAUUUUUUCUACAGCAAGUGGAAGCAAGCCAUGUGGGUAAGAGGAAGCAUCCAAAUAUGUUAAUGUAACAACUGCACAUAGGAGGGAAUCAUUUUAUUCUCAGACAAUGUUAGAAUAGCAACACUCUGCACAUACUGAUAAUAGUGAAGUAUUUCAGUCUGUAUAUUUGGAGAUAAAGUAUUUCACAUCAACAUAUGUACAGAUGAAGGAGGAGCAUUUUCUCUGUAUGAUUUUUAUUCUGUAAAACGACUAUGUCUAUAAUAUCUGCACCUGAUAAGGUUCCAUCCAUCCAUCCAUUCACUUCUGCUUAUCCUGUUCAGGGUCGCGGGGGGGCUGGAGCCUAUCCCAGCUGUGAUAGGGUGAGAAGCAGGGUACACCUGUACAGGUCGCCAGCCUGUCACAGGGCCAACACAGAGAGACAGACAACCUUUCACACUCUCAUUCACACCUAUGGGCAAUUAAGUGUAGCCAGUUAACCUCUAACCCCAGGAAGUGCCUGAUGAGGUUUAAAAUUGAUGUAGUUUAAAGUCAGGCUUUCAAAUGGCUUCAUGGCUGCUGUGUAUCUGUUCAUUUCCUUCCUCAAAAUUAAGAAACCUGAAGGUGUGGACCCUCUCCACACACUCUCUGUUGAUGUGGAGGGGGGCUGGGUCAGUCCUGUGCUUCCUGAACUUUUUGGUUUUCAUGGUGUUCAGUGCAGGUUGUUCUCUGUCAGCUUCAGGACCUCCUCUCUGUGGGCUGCCUCAUCUCCUCAGCUUUUGGAUGAUAUUCAGAAAAUAAAAACAAGUUUAUGUAUUACUCAGCUGUAUGAACGGAUUGUAAGGAAAGGACUGUUUUUGUGAGCUUUCUUUGUGCAUCAAUUUGUCAGUCUGGAUACGUCAUGUGACCGGCGUUGCCAGGUCAACGGACUCUUAGAGUUUCUCCACUGACAUAAAUUUUUGGCACUUUUGGGGAGAACUGUGGUUUUUGGUUUCAUAGUUACUGAAUGCAAAUGAUGUUUUAGUUGGAAUGACUCUAUGAGGCCUGGUCACGUCGCUGUCAUGGCCGCUGAGCUGCUGCGUUCGGUUCCUGUUUGGGCCUGUUUGCCGUCAGUGGGCUUGGUUCCACUUCAGGCUGUCGGCCGUAAUCCAGCACCACUGCUGUUAGAAGAGCCUCUGAAUGUUAAACGUGUAGUUGUGUAUUUAAUACUACAUUUCCAACAGUAUGAAGCUACUAACAGUUACAGUGUUUUUGUAUCAAAUGUAUCAUCGUCACUGUUCAAGAAAUCUAAAUAAAUAGA